RNAcentral lists this long non-coding RNA (1330 nucleotides) under Anas platyrhynchos platyrhynchos (common mallard). RNAcentral's name for it is "lncRNA (ENSAPLG00000025391.1)". Lineage: Eukaryota; Metazoa; Chordata; Aves; Anseriformes; Anatidae. The record is from RNAcentral.
AUGGAUCAUUGUCAUGUGCUGUUACUGCUGGUGGCAUGGCAGCCAGACAAAACUACGCUUUGGAGAUGGAAAUGUUUUAAUGGAAAAACAAUAAUCACUGUCAGGCUCUCCAUCUGUGUUCAUGGUCCUGCCAUCAGGUUUCACCAGACUGCUGUUUUGUGGAAGCCCAGCCCUGGUCACAGCCAUCAGUCAGCUGAGGUACUUGCUCCUCUCUCUGCUCCUUACUCACGAGCAGACCCUGCUUGCAGCACUUCAGCAAUUUGGCAAGGAGAGAGCCAGGAUGAGGCUAUACUGAAUCUCCUCUUCAUGCUGCAACGUCCCUACUCUUGAAUGUGUUGUCCUUAACUCAUUCCCACAACUGCACCAGCCAUGGGGGGACUGGGAAUGCACUGCAAUGCUCAGGGGCAUGUGCCAAGUCCAUAUUUUUCUGGGACCAGCGGUAGGCCACCACCAAGAGCCUUCUCCCACCAGAAGGUAUGUGCCUCUUGUUGAUGCAGCCAACGUAUUAGUGGCAAGAGCUCAAACUGAGCUUGGAGUGCAUGGGGAGGCUGUAGAGAGGAAGCCCAGGUUAGUGGGACUUCAAGGAAACCUGUCCACAGCCUCUGUUUCAUUGUCAUCACCUAACGCUUGAGAACCUUCCUGUGAUACCAGGAUGGCCAUUUGUUAUGGUUAUCACAACGGUAAAAUUGUCAUGGGUAAAAACAUCCCAUUGUCCAGAAAUACAAGACAAUAGUGUCGGCAAAGAGGGCCCAUCCUCCACACCCCCUUCCCCUCACAACUCCUCCACACUCAGGAAGUGGCAAGGCUGUACUGUGUGGCCAAAAACAAGGCAGCAAAACUCUAGUGAAAAAGGGGAGUUAGAGCUGAUCGGUAAGCCAGGCAUGGGCACUGAACAUCUCUCAAGAGAUAAGUUUCUGAUGCUUGAUUCUUUUCAGUCCUUUUGGAGACCGUGAUAAGGAGGCGGCAGUUGCUUUGUCAGGGUUGCUCACGCUCUUUUGUGCAGUGUUCAGUCACUGAACUUGCUCAGAUAAGACAAACAUCUAAACUCCAUUUCCGGAGACACAUACCAGGCUUUGCACUCAGGCAAUGGUUAUACCAGCAGUGGGCUACUAGAGGCAAAACUGAUCUCGAAAGGCUGUGAGAAGGAUUCUCUAUAGCAGCUGGUGCUUCUGCAUCUCUUGUGCUCCAAAACUGGAAUCCAGGCUUUCAAAGGGGCCCAAAAACGCUGGGGUAUUUGGCAAAGGUGGCCACUGGUAUCCCACUGGGAGCAGUGGUGGGGUGAAGGACUUCUGAAAAACUGAUCCAAAUUCUGGGUGCUCUGGGCUUUGCA